RNAcentral lists this ribosomal RNA (482 nucleotides) under uncultured bacterium. RNAcentral describes it as "partial 16S ribosomal RNA". It matches the Rfam family "Bacterial small subunit ribosomal RNA", at positions 30 to 507 of the family's 1533-position model. The record is from RNAcentral.
AUUGAACGCUGGCGGCAUGCUUUACACAUGCAAGUCGAACGGUAACAGGCCGCAAGGUGCUGACGAGUGGCGAACGGGUGAGUAAUGCAUCGGAACGUGCCCAGUCGUGGGGGAUAACUACUCGAAAGAGUAACUAAUACCGCAUACGAUCUAUGGAUGAAAGCGGGGGACCGUAAGGCCUCGCGCGAUUGGAGCGGCCGAUGUCAGAUUAGGUAGUUGGUGGGGUAAAGGCUCACCAAGCCAACGAUCUGUAGCUGGUCUGAGAGGACGACCAGCCACACUGGGACUGAGACACGGCCCAGACUCCUACGGGAGGCAGCAGUGGGGAAUUUUGGACAAUGGGCGCAAGCCUGAUCCAGCAAUGCCGCGUGCAGGAAGAAGGCCUUCGGGUUGUAAACUGCUUUUGUACGGAACGAAACGGCUCUGGUUAAUACCCGGGGCUAAUGACGGUACCGUAAGAAUAAGCACCGGCUAACUACGUG